GACGUGCUAAUCUGCGAUAAGCGCCGGUAAGGUGAUAUGAACCGUUAUAACCGGCGAUUUCCGAAUGGGGAAACCCAGUGUGACUCGUCACACUAUCAUUAACUGAAUCCAUAGGUUAAUGAGGCGAACCGGGGGAACUGAAACAUCUAAGUACCCCGAGGAAAAGAAAUCAACCGAGAUUCCCCCAGUAGCGGCGAGCGAACGGGGAGGAGCCCAGAGCCUGAAUCAGCAUGUGUGUUAGUGGAAGCGUCUGGAAAGGCGCGCGAUACAGGGUGACAGCCCCGUACACAAAAGCGCAUGUGCUGUGAGCUCGAUGAGUAGGGCGGGACACGUGGUAUCCUGUCUGAAUAUGGGGGGACCAUCCUCCAAGGCUAAAUACUCCUGACUGACCGAUAGUGAACCAGUACCGUGAGGGAAAGGCGAAAAGAACCCCGGCGAGGGGAGUGAAAAAGAACCUGAAACCGUGUACGUACAAGCAGUGGGAGCCCCACCACUAAGCCAGUGGUGAACUCCACAUACGCAUCCUUUGCUGAGGAUACGGUUAACGGAGUGAAAGCGACGUUCAACCGCAAAAGAAGCAGAGGGGGCUUAGUGGUGGGGUGACUGCGUACCUUUUGUAUAAUGGGUCAGCGACUUAUAUUCUGUAGCAAGGUUAACCGAAUAGGGGAGCCGGAGGGAAACCGAGUCUUAAUUGGGCGUUAAGUUGCAGGGUAUAGACCCGAAACCCGGUGAUCUAGCCAUGGGCAGGUUGAAGGUUGGGUAACACUAACUGGAGGACCGAACCGACUAAUGUUGAAAAAUUAGCGGAUGACCUGUGGCUGGGGGUGAAAGGCCAAUCAAACCGGGAGAUAGCUGGUUCUCCCCGAAAGCUAUUUAGGUAGCGCCUCGUGAAUUCAUCUCCGGGGGUAGAGCACUGUUUCGGCUAGGGGGCCAUCCCGGCUUACCAACCCGAUGCAAACUGCGAAUACCGGAGAAUGUUAUCACGGGAGACACACGGCGGGUGCUAACGUCCGUCGUGAAGAGGGAAACAACCCAGACCGCCAGCUAAGGUCCCAAAGUCAUGGUUAAGUGGGAAACGAUGUGGGAAGGCCCAGACAGCCAGGAUGUUGGCUUAGAAGCAGCCAUCAUUUAAAGAAAGCGUAAUAGCUCACUGGUCGAGUCGGCCUGCGCGGAAGAUGUAACGGGGCUAAACCAUGCACCGAAGCUGCGGCAGCGACGCUUAUGCGUUGUUGGGUAGGGGAGCGUUCUGUAAGCCUGUGAAGGUGGCCUGUGAGGGUUGCUGGAGGUAUCAGAAGUGCGAAUGCUGACAUAAGUAACGAUAAAGCGGGUGAAAAGCCCGCUCGCCGGAAGACCAAGGGUUCCUGUCCAACGUUAAUCGGGGCAGGGUGAGUCGACCCCUAAGGCGAGGCCGAAAGGCGUAGUCGAUGGGAAACGGGUUAAUAUUCCCGUACUUGGUGUUACUGCGAAGGGGGGACGGAGAAGGCUAUGUUGGCCGGGCGACGGUUGUCCCGGUUUAAGCGUGUAGGUGUGUGUUCCAGGUAAAUCCGGUUCACUUUAACACUGAGGCGUGACGACGAGGCACUACGGUGCUGAAGCAACAAAUGCCCUGCUUCCAGGAAAAGCCUCUAAGCAUCAGGUAACACGAAAUCGUACCCCAAACCGACACAGGUGGUCAGGUAGAGAAUACCAAGGCGCUUGAGAGAACUCGGGUGAAGGAACUAGGCAAAAUGGUGCCGUAACU
RNAcentral lists this ribosomal RNA (1741 nucleotides) under Salmonella enterica subsp. enterica serovar Minnesota. RNAcentral's name for it is "partial 23S ribosomal RNA". It matches the Rfam family "Bacterial large subunit ribosomal RNA", at positions 55 to 1735 of the family's 2925-position model. The record is from RNAcentral. Lineage: Bacteria; Pseudomonadati; Pseudomonadota; Gammaproteobacteria; Enterobacterales; Enterobacteriaceae.